GACGAACGCUGGCGGCGUGCUUAACACAUGCAAGUCGAACGGUAAGGCCCUUCGGGGUACACGAGUGGCGAACGGGUGAGUAACACGUGGGUGAUCUGCCCUGCACUUCGGGAUAAGCCUGGGAAACUGGGUCUAAUACCGGAUAGGACCACUGCCUGCAUGGGGGGUGGUGGAAAGCUUUUGCGGUGUGGGAUGGGCGCGCGGCAUAUCAGCUGGUUGGUGGGGGGAUGGCCUACCAAGGCGACGACGGGUAGCCGGCCUGAGAGGGUGACCGGCCACACUGGGACUGAGAUACGGCCCAGACUCCUACGGGAGGCAGCAGUGGGGAAUAUUGCACAAUGGGCGCAAGCCUGAUGCAGCGACGCCGCGUGAGGGAUGACGGCCUUCGGGUUGUAAACCUCUUUCAGCACCGACGAAGCGCAAGUGACGGUAGGUGCAGAAGAAGGACCGGCCAACUACGUGCCAGCAGCCGCGGUAA
This 478-nucleotide ribosomal RNA is filed under the name uncultured bacterium. RNAcentral describes it as "partial 16S ribosomal RNA". It matches the Rfam family "Bacterial small subunit ribosomal RNA", at positions 28 to 523 of the family's 1533-position model. The record is from RNAcentral.